Molecule: unclassified non-coding RNA, 161 nt
Filed under: uncultured Rhizoscyphus
Lineage: Eukaryota; Fungi; Ascomycota; Leotiomycetes; Helotiales; Helotiaceae
Description: sequence contains ITS1
Source: RNAcentral
AAGAAUGCCCCGUUUUUUGAAAUGGGUUCUAUUCCCAAACCGUGUCUACAUACCUUUGUUGCUUUGGCGGGCCGCCUUCAGGCGUUGGCCUUGGCUAACUGUGCCCGCCAGAGGACCCAAACUCGUUUGUUUAGUGAUGUCUGAGUACUAUAAAAUAGUUA